AUGCGCGCGAGCGGCAAGCGGCUGUGCCAGAUGGUCCACGACGCCGGCCUGCGGCAUGGCACCGAGGAUCGUCUCCAGACGGUGUUCGCGACCGGCUGGUGGAUGGCCGCCGUCGAUGCCAACUACGACUCUCAGUUGGACCAGAUGAUCGUUGCCACCACCAAGUUCACCAUCCUCAAGAAGCUCGGGGACGACAUCGCCGUACUCCUCCAGCCCAUGCGCCCGAGCUCCUCAUUGCCUGCCACCCUAAUCGGCCUCCAUGGCCAGAACCUCUUUCAAGCACUGGUGGCCCUGCGACUGCCCGCCGACGCCACGAAGAAUGUCCACCUAGAGGUCGCGCUCGCCGCGAGGCGCCUCGCCCUGCAAGAAUUCGUUGACCUACACAUCCACAUGUACGAGCAAAUCGUGUACAUAGGUAUCUACAAGGCCAUUGAGGACGCUACGACGUUGGCCUUCCUCAACCGGCUGGAAGCCUUGGAUGCCUUUGCUGAGAAGCACCUUGACCUCGCCACAAAAGCCGCCGCUCCUUAG
Molecule: ribosomal RNA, 531 nt
Filed under: Triticum aestivum (bread wheat)
Lineage: Eukaryota; Viridiplantae; Streptophyta; Magnoliopsida; Poales; Poaceae
Description: partial small subunit ribosomal RNA
Source: RNAcentral